Molecule: ribosomal RNA, 467 nt
Filed under: uncultured bacterium
Lineage: Bacteria
Description: partial 16S ribosomal RNA
Rfam family: Bacterial small subunit ribosomal RNA
Source: RNAcentral
GACGAACGCUGGCGGCGUGCUUAACACAUGCAAGUCGAACGGAAAGGCCCUGCUUUUGUGGGGUGCUCGAGUGGCGAACGGGUGAGUAACACGUGAGUAACCUGCCCUUGACUUUGGGAUAACUUCAGGAAACUGGGGCUAAUACCGGAUAGGAGCUCCUGCUGCAUGGUGGGGGUUGGAAAGUUUCGGCGGUUGGGGAUGGACUCGCGGCUUAUCAGCUUGUUGGUGGGGUAGUGGCUUACCAAGGCUUUGACGGGUAGCCGGCCUGAGAGGGUGACCGGCCACAUUGGAACUGAGAUACGGCCCAGACACCGACGGGAGGCAGCAGUGGGGAAUAUGGCACAAUGGGCGAAAGCGUGAGGCAGCAACGCCGCGUGCGGGAUGACGGCCUUCGGGUUGUAAACCGCUUUCGCCUGUGACGAAGCGUAAGGGACGGUAAUGGGUAAAGAAGCACCGGCUAACUACGU